This is a non-coding RNA of Phoenix dactylifera (date palm), 970 nucleotides long. The record is from RefSeq and is a predicted model, not a curated record. NCBI's taxonomy places the organism in Eukaryota, Viridiplantae, Streptophyta, Magnoliopsida, Arecales, Arecaceae.
GCCUAAGGCCCCGGCCCAAUAAAAGGCCCCGCCCCAAAAGCCUGAACCACGCCGCUGUGGAGUGGGGACAAGGGAUUUGGGAUACGUUUACGGCUGGGAUGAGGUGAGGAAUAGCUGAGAGCUGAGGAAUAGCUGUCAAGUGAUCACACCUCCAUUGCCUACGAUUUUUGGGUUUUGAGAAGCGGAGGGGCAGAUUUGAGUUUGGACUUGAGUUUUAUCGCUGUUUGUUGUCCGUUCUGGGUCUAUUGUUGCCAAAACCGUAUCAAAAUACUAUCUUUUUGAACAGAUUUACCUGGUUUCCUGUUGAUAAUUUGCAAUUUAUACAAGAAAAAUUGCAGGGGGGAAAUGGUUUUUUUUUAGUGUUUUUUUCCGUCACUUUCUCAUUUAUAGCUUGCAUUUAAAUGUAAAAAUGGUGGAAAAACAGAAAUCGGGCUUGAAGCUCUCGCCUUACCAACGAGCCGACUGCUAAUGGCUGUUGGUCACGACUACUACAAAAAAGUGAAGAUGAAUCUUCUAGAGCUCUUUUUAGCUGUUCAGGUGGGUUUCGCCUUCUUUUUUUUUUCAGCUGGUUACUGAACUCAUCAUGGAGCCCCAGUUUAGAUUCCGAUGGUUCUUUCCGGUUGCUCUCGAUGCGAGCAUUCUAAAGGCUGGUCAUACAUUUGGGGUUUUUCAAUCUUUUGUUUAACCAAUUGCAAAAAUCAGACAUUUUCUAGAUUCCAAAUGGAUUUUGAGCAUCAGCGAGAUGGCACUGUUUUUACUUCUUUGAUUGUCAGAUGACCUCAUUCUAUGAUUUUUGAGUCUUUCCCAUUUGGUAGUCCCCUGUCACAAGUCCAACAAAUUUGAUCUGACACCUAUUCACCCACUAUAUGCAACUAUAUGUCUUUAGGUUGUGUAUGUCUUGUAACAACAUAUGAAUAUGAAUCUUGUAACUGCAUACAACAAUAUAUUUUUUGAUUUGCCUGUCUAUGCU